GCCCAGGGGACGUGGAUAACCUCGGGAAACUGAGGAUAAACCGCGAUAAGUCAUUACUUCUGGAAUGGGUAAUGACUGAAAUCUACAUGGCCCCUGGAUUGGACUGCGGCCGAUCAGGCUGUUGGUGAGGUAAUGGCCCACCAAACCUGUAACCGGUACGGGCUCUGAGAGGAGGAGCCCGGAGAUGGGCACUGAGACAAGGGCCCAGGCCCUAUGGGGCGCAGCAGGCGCGAAACCUCUGCAAUAGGCGAAAGCCUGACAGGGUUACUCUGAGUGAUUUCCGUUAAGGAGAUCUUUUGGCACCUCUAAAAAUGGUGCAGAAUAAGGGGUGGGCAAGUCUGGUGUCAGCCGCCGCGGUAAUACCAGCACCCCGAGUGGUCGGGACGUUUAUUGGGCCUAAAGCAUCCGUAGCCGGUUCUACAAGUCUUCCGUUAAAUCCACCUGCUUAACAGAUGGGCUGCGGAAGAUACUAUAGAGCUAGGAGGCGGGAGAGGCAAGCGGUACUCGAUGGGGUAGGGGGUAAAAUCCGUUUGAUCCAUUGAAGA
This 545-nucleotide ribosomal RNA is filed under the name uncultured archaeon. RNAcentral describes it as "bacterial SSU rRNA". It matches the Rfam family "Archaeal small subunit ribosomal RNA", at positions 111 to 656 of the family's 1478-position model. The record is from RNAcentral.